Molecule: RNase P RNA, 348 nt
Filed under: Gulosibacter macacae
Lineage: Bacteria; Bacillati; Actinomycetota; Actinomycetes; Micrococcales; Microbacteriaceae
Description: Bacterial RNase P class A
Rfam family: Bacterial RNase P class A
About the family: Ribonuclease P (RNase P) is a ubiquitous endoribonuclease, found in archaea, bacteria and eukarya as well as chloroplasts and mitochondria. Its best characterised activity is the generation of mature 5'-ends of tRNAs by cleaving the 5'-leader elements of precursor-tRNAs. Cellular RNase Ps are ribonucleoproteins.
Source: Rfam by way of RNAcentral
UGGGUCGGCCAGGCGGUCGCGUGCCGCGUGAGCGGUCCGAGGAACGUCCGGGCUCCACAGAGCAGGACGGUGGGUAACGCCCACCCGGGGUAACCCGCGAGAAAGUGCCACAGAAAGCAAACCGCCCGCAAGGGUAAGGGUGAAAGGGUGCGGUAAGAGCGCACCGGUCGGCUGGUGACAGUCGUCGCACGGUAAACCUCGUCCGGAGCAAGGCCAACAGGGAAUGAUGACGCUGCUCGUCGAGUUCCCGGGUGUGCUGCUAGAGCGGCGCGGUAACGCGUCGCCGAGAAAGAUGGCCGCCACGGAUGCACAUCCGUACAGAACCCGGCGUAUCGGCCGACCCGCUCG